Molecule: ribosomal RNA, 481 nt
Filed under: uncultured bacterium
Lineage: Bacteria
Description: bacterial SSU rRNA
Rfam family: Bacterial small subunit ribosomal RNA
Source: RNAcentral
GACGAACGCUGGCGGCGUGCCUAACACAUGCAAGUCGAACGGAGUUAUUUCGACAGAUUCCUUCGGGAUGAAGAUGACUUAACUUAGUGGCGGACGGGUGAGUAACGCGUGAGCAACCUUUCCUUCACUGGGGAAUAACACCGGGAAACUGGUACUAAUACCGCAUGAGACCACAGAGUCGCAUGGCUUAGGGGUCAAAGAUUUAUUGGUGAAGGGUGGGCUCGCGUCUGAUUAGCUAGUUGGUGGGGUAACGGCCUACCAAGGCGACGAUCAGUAGCCGACCUGAGAGGGUGAUCGGCCACAUUGGAACUGAGACACGGUCCAAACUCCUACGGGAGGCAGCAGUGGGGAAUAUUGCACAAUGGGCGAAAGCCUGAUGCAGCAACGCCGCGUGAAGGAAGAAAGGUCUUCGGAUCGUAAACUUCUGUCCUUAGGGAAGAUAAUGACGGUACCUUUGGAGGAAGCCCCGGCUAACUACGUG